RNAcentral lists this long non-coding RNA (385 nucleotides) under Sus scrofa (pig). RNAcentral's name for it is "lncRNA (ENSSSCG00060074659.1)". The record is from RNAcentral. Lineage: Eukaryota; Metazoa; Chordata; Mammalia; Artiodactyla; Suidae.
ACAACGUGAGGCCACUGGUGACGUCAUGUGUGGGCUUAAGCCUGACUGGAUGGAGGUUGGACGGCGAGGGGACUGGAGGCCAUGGAAAUAGAUCUUUGGAGGAGUUCUGCCCCAAAGGGCUUCUGAGAAGGAGAAGUCAAGAGUUUGAUGUCUUUGUCAUCCCUGCUCGGGCAGCAGGAUACUUUCCCAGAGGCCAUGGAGACAGGACGCCUAGGUGCCCAAGCACUGCAGAGAUGGAUUCCAGUGGGAGAUGCCAAAACUCAUUUUUCUGGCUGCAGUUCUCGGACAAGACUUGACCUCUUCCAGUUGGGACUCCCUGCAGUAAGUGUGUGAGCGCGCGUGUACACACACACACACACACACACACACACACAUUGAACUUGAU